Molecule: ribosomal RNA, 531 nt
Filed under: Triticum aestivum (bread wheat)
Lineage: Eukaryota; Viridiplantae; Streptophyta; Magnoliopsida; Poales; Poaceae
Description: partial small subunit ribosomal RNA
Source: RNAcentral
AUGUCCAUGAGCGCCCCAGCCGAGCCGUCGUGGCUCCGCCGGGACCUGCUCCCGCACCUCGGGCUCCCGGCGGACCUGCCGGUGCACUUCAUCGCCGAGAAGGCCGUCACCGGCACCGACUUCGACCCGCUGCAGUGUCGGUUCAGCCUCCCGCCCUACGGCGUGAUACACAGCCUGCGCCCCGUCCUCACCGCCGAAGAGCUCCAGGCUGCCAACCUGCGGUACGAGGACGACAACGCGCAGGAGCAAAGGACGACUGGGGAGAGGAGGAAAGAGAGGAGGCACCGCGCCGGCGGGCUGCCCGUGCUGGUGGUCGACCCCCACGCCGGAUCCAUUGAGCUGCGGCUGUCGCGCGGCGCCCACAGCACGACGCUCAAGGGGGCUGGGUAUCUCGAUUUCAUCAACGAGUGCAGCUUCACCGUCCACGACGUCGUCCGGAUCUGGGCCUUCAACCCCCACGCAUCUCCUUCAAACGUUGAGGAAAGCCCCCUCUAUCUUGUCAUCGCCAAGAAACCAACACCCCAGACUUGA